GACGAACGCUGGCGGCGUGCUUAACACAUGCAAGUCGAACGAUGAAGCCCAGCUUGCUGGGUGGAUUAGUGGCGAACGGGUGAGUAACACGUGGGCAACCUACCCCAAACUCUGGGAUAACUCCUCGAAAGAGGUGCUAAUACCGGAUACGAACUAGACAGACAUCUGUACUAGUUGGAAAGUUUUUCGGUUUGGGAUGGGCCCGCGGCCUAUCAGCUUGUUGGUGAGGUAACGGCUCACCAAGGCUACGACGGGUAACCGGCCUGAGAGGGCGACCGGUCACACUGGGACUGAGACACGGCCCAGACUCCUACGGGAGGCAGCAGUGGGGAAUAUUGCGCAUUGGGCGAAAGCCUGACGCAGCGACGCCGCGUGAGGGAUGAAGGUCUUCGGAUCGUGAACCUCUUUCAGUAGGGACGAAGCGAAAGUGACGGUACCUAAAGAAGAAGCACCGGCUAACUACGUGCCAGCCGCCGCGGUAA
This 482-nucleotide ribosomal RNA is filed under the name uncultured bacterium. Its description in RNAcentral is "partial 16S ribosomal RNA". It matches the Rfam family "Bacterial small subunit ribosomal RNA", at positions 28 to 523 of the family's 1533-position model. The record is from RNAcentral.